GCUUCGGUAGCUCAAUUGGUAGAGCAGUGGACUGAAAAUCCACGUGUAGCCAGUUCGAUUCUGGUCUGAAGCA
RNAcentral lists this transfer RNA (73 nucleotides) under Bacteriophage sp. Its description in RNAcentral is "tRNA-Phe". It matches the Rfam family "tRNA". Rfam says of the family: Transfer RNA (tRNA) molecules are approximately 80 nucleotides in length. Their secondary structure includes four short double-helical elements and three loops (D, anti-codon, and T loops). The record is from RNAcentral.